This 30-nucleotide non-coding RNA is filed under the name Homo sapiens (human). Lineage: Eukaryota; Metazoa; Chordata; Mammalia; Primates; Hominidae. The record is from RNAcentral.
UGCAGAGUGGCUUCCUGCCUUACUGUGAGC